RNAcentral lists this non-coding RNA (24 nucleotides) under Mus musculus (house mouse). The record is from RNAcentral. Lineage: Eukaryota; Metazoa; Chordata; Mammalia; Rodentia; Muridae.
UAAAUAUAGAGAUGCCUACUAUGU